AGGGUAUGCUCAGGGCAGGGGACCUGAACAAUAGCUCCUCUGUUUCUUACACACACAACAGGAUUAUGGGACCAUUGUAACAAGGUGCAUAACACCUGUGGCCUCCCUAUGAGUAAAUGGCCUACAUGU
Jaculus jaculus (lesser Egyptian jerboa) is the source of this 129-nucleotide small nucleolar RNA. The record is from Ensembl. NCBI's taxonomy places the organism in Eukaryota, Metazoa, Chordata, Mammalia, Rodentia, Dipodidae.